RNAcentral lists this non-coding RNA (28 nucleotides) under Mus musculus (house mouse). Lineage: Eukaryota; Metazoa; Chordata; Mammalia; Rodentia; Muridae. The record is from RNAcentral.
UGCCGCUUGUCUCCACACCCUUUUGGUU